Long non-coding RNA from Alligator sinensis (Chinese alligator), 1074 nucleotides. RefSeq lists it as uncharacterized. The record is from RefSeq and is a predicted model, not a curated record. Lineage: Eukaryota; Metazoa; Chordata; Crocodylia; Alligatoridae. The transcript is spliced from 4 exons.
CGGCUGCUUCCUGCUCGCGGCUUUCACAAGGGGCUGGCGGCUCCUGAGCGCGCUCUGCCACGAGCCCGGCGCUUCUGCAAGCCCCUCUCGGCCCGUGUGCGGCCCGCCCCGCUAAAGGGGCCCUGUGAAGCAGCAGGACAGUGAUUCUCCUUUGCCUGUCUCAUCACGUGUCUGUUUUGUAAAGUUCCAUGAUCCUGACUCGGCAGUUGUGGCCCAGCAUCUGACAAACACUGUAUUCGUUGACAGAGCGUUGAUAGUCGUACCAUAUGCAGAAGUAUUUCAUGGUUCUAACAAAGCAGCAGUAAAAAAAAACUCUUGACGCAUGAAAAUUAACUGUUCUUUUCCCUGGUUCAGCCUGAACUAUAUACCAGGCCCUGCUGAAAAUACCACCCAACAGUUUUCUUCUGCAGCUUAUCCAGUUUCUCUUAAGUGCCCUGUACAUAUUGUAUGUUUUAUGAUGAGAUGCAGUUUCUUAAUAUGUAUUACAGAAACACUACUGGUAUUUGCAAAUAUAUAGUAAAAUUGUAUUAUUGAACUCUCAUUUGGGGGCUUGGGCACAUUAACAGAUUAAUCCAUCUGUAUAGGGCUUUUGCUGUUGGAUAGAAUACAAAUUAUCCACAUAAAUACUUGUUUCAUAGUAGGACCCUUAAGAUUUGUUCUAUGUGCAGAAUAGGUAGUAAACUCAGACACUUGUCUUAGUUGGCUACAAGAGUUUGGGCUGGAAGUUUCUUCUGAAAUGACAGUAUGUAGUAGCAACCUUGGUACAGUAAACAUGGCACAUAUUGGAACAUAUGCAUUUUACUGCACAGGUAAGGAAUGUGCCACAAUGUACUGUAUAUACACAUCCACCCACACAUACACAGCGUGUAUUUGGAGAUCUGCAGAGACUUUCAUGUUCAUUUGAUGAGUCAGCAAAAGCCCUACGCUUGAUUCAGCAAAAUAUUUCCUUACCUUCUCUUAAUUUUUACAAAAUUUGUGUGGUAGGUGUAAAAGAAAUCAUAGUGAACUGUACCAUAUUAUUAACCCCUAAAUCAAACUUUUUUUGUCUUGUGUAUCUUGAUUUUUCUGUGUGCU